CAACGAUAUAGAUAUCUACCAAAGAAAAGUCUUCGAAGUUAUUGAGAAGUGAUUCAGGAAAGGAUAAUGGCAUCAAUUUGUAAAGGCAAGAGUUCAUGGCCGGAACUAGUUGGGUGUGAUGGAGACACUGCUGCUGCAACUAUCAAGAGACAAAAUAGUAACAUUGUGCGCGCCAUUGUUGUGCUAGAAGGAACUGGCGUAACAGAGGAUUUCAGAUGCGACAGGGUCUGGGUCUGGGUGAACGGAAGCCGGAUUGUCACCAUUACACCUAUAAUUGGUUAAAACUCAUGGAACGAAUGAAAAAUAAGCCGUAGCUGGUAUUGUCUUUGUCUUUCUAAAAAUUUCGCACAAAUGUAUGUUAUUGCUAAAAUAAAGAUAUUUCUUUGAUAUUUGGUAUCAA
Long non-coding RNA from Papaver somniferum (opium poppy), 400 nucleotides. RefSeq lists it as uncharacterized. The record is from RefSeq and is a predicted model, not a curated record. The transcript is spliced from 2 exons. Lineage: Eukaryota; Viridiplantae; Streptophyta; Magnoliopsida; Ranunculales; Papaveraceae.